This 229-nucleotide ribosomal RNA is filed under the name uncultured bacterium. RNAcentral's name for it is "partial 16S ribosomal RNA". It matches the Rfam family "Bacterial small subunit ribosomal RNA", at positions 568 to 796 of the family's 1533-position model. The record is from RNAcentral.
UGCGUAGGCGGAUUAAUAAGUCAGUGGUGAAAGCCUGCAGCUUAACUGUAGAAUUGCCAUUGAUACUGUUAAUCUUGAGUUCAGUUGAGGUGGGCGGAAUGUGUCAUGUAGCGGUGAAAUGCUUAGAUAUGACACAGAACACCAAUUGCGAAGGCAGCUCGCUAAACUGACACUGACGCUGAGGCACGAAAGCGUGGGGAGCGAACAGGAUUAGAUACCCUGGUAGUCC